CCGCUGAGGAUGGCUUUUCUCGGACUGUAAAUAGGCCGGGAAAUAAGGGGAGGGCAAGUCUGGUGUCAGUCCGCCGCGGUAAUACCAGCUCCUCGAGUGGUCGGGACGAUUAUUGGGCCUAAAGCACCCGUAGCCGGUUCCGUAAGUCCUCUGUUAAAUCCAGCCGCUCAACGGCUGGCGUGCAGAGGAUACUGCUGGACUAGGAGGCGGGAGAGGCGGACGGUACUCCGCGUGUAGGGGUAAAAUCCUUUGAUCCGCGGAAGACCACCAGUGGCGAAGGCGGUCCGCCAGAACGCGCUCGACGGUGAGGGGUGAAAGCUGGGGGAGCGAACCGGAUUAGAUACCCGGGUAGUCCCAGCCGUAAACGAUGCGAGCUAGAUGAUUCGAUCGCAGUUCGCGAUCGAAGUGUCGCAGGGAAGCCGUUAAGCUCGCCGCCUGGGGAGUACGGUCGCAAGGCUGAAUCGUAUGCAGAAUUUUCUGCCUACGCAGUUCACUUAAAGGAUUGGCG
This 508-nucleotide ribosomal RNA is filed under the name uncultured prokaryote. RNAcentral describes it as "bacterial SSU rRNA". It matches the Rfam family "Archaeal small subunit ribosomal RNA", at positions 393 to 870 of the family's 1478-position model. The record is from RNAcentral.